This 113-nucleotide ribosomal RNA is filed under the name Promethearchaeota archaeon. Lineage: Archaea; Promethearchaeati; Promethearchaeota. The record is from RNAcentral.
CUUGGCAGUUAUAGAGACAGGGGUACACCUGUUACCAUCCCGAACACAGCAGUUAAGCCUGUCUUCGCCGAUGUUACUGCGGUUUGCCGUGGGAAAGUAGGUCGCUGCCAAGA